This 2092-nucleotide long non-coding RNA is filed under the name Carassius auratus (goldfish). Its description in RNAcentral is "lncRNA (ENSCARG00000003199.1)". The record is from RNAcentral. Lineage: Eukaryota; Metazoa; Chordata; Actinopteri; Cypriniformes; Cyprinidae.
AUGCUUAUCUCUUUGCAACAUUUUUCUUAUCAGGAACAUGCACAUUUUGUCAUUAUUGCAAAUGUACAUGACUCUAUAAGAAUGUUCAGUAUAAAUAUUGCUGUGAUGCUUCCUCCUCACUCUCAGUAGAAACAGACAGCUCCAGUGUUUAGGCUCUAGUUAUCCUGCUGCAAUGAAGAAAAAAUCAACCAUACAUUUGACUCAAAUUUUACUUAUUUUCAUCCUCAUUCAAGGAACCUUGACAAACAUGAUCGAUAGACCAAGGUAUCCUUGGUACCACAAGUGGUUAUCUGAUGAUGCUGGAUAUGCGCUUGAUGAGCCUCAGAUGGGACAGGAUCUGCCAGGAUCUGGAUCCGGUGAUGGCACAGAGAAGCCAUUCAGCCCAAGCGAUGAAGACAAGAGCAGGCAAUUCUCAAUUUUCAUUUCUCUAUCUCCACUCAUUAUCAUCUAAACAGAUACAUUUGAGAUAAAAUAUAACUUGUGUAUUAUUAUUUGUUUCUAAAGUUUUCAACCAGAAUGAGCCGAUUCAAGGAAUAGCCAAGAUGUCUAGAAGAACUUGUGGACCAAUUUUCUCACGGCCUGUCUCUAUUAAACCUUUUUGUUUUAAUUUUGGAAUCAUUGUCAGCCGUACUAUAACAUUUUGUAGAAUUAAGUAAUGAAUUAAAAUGUUAGAUGCAAACAAAAAACAUAUUCAAUAAAAAGAUAAUAAUCAAAUGAUAUUCAUUGUUUCAUUUCUCUUGUCUUCAAAUUCAGAGAAUAGACUAACAUUCUACUAACGAUCAUAUAAUAAAGGCUACAGGCUGGUCAGUGCAAAUAAACUGGCUUUUAACUAUAGUAAUUUAAUGUUAGUUUAACCAGUCAUUAUCUUAACUGCCUCAGAAUACAUGCUCUCAAGCAAUCAUAUGUUUUAUUCUGAAACCCACUCUGUAACUCUACUGUAAAACCAGCUAUACCAUCCCUAUAAAUAAUUCAUUUGUUAUAUCAGGAGUUGUAUUACUAAAUUUAAUAAUUUCUAAAAUCUUCACCUUGACCAAAUUAUUUUACACUUUCAUCCUUGAUCAUAUACUGCCCCAUUUUGUCUCAGAAAGUAAAUAUGUCGCUCCGGUGAUUGAUAGAGAGUUUCUACCAAUCCAACUAACAAUAAUAAUAAUAAAUACAAAAUAAAAUCCAUAGAUAGGGCUAAGUAUAGUUAUUUUUUGCACUGAAGUGUGGGAUGAGGUAGGGUUAUUUUCAACACUGUAGAGAGUAGGCUAUACCAGGGAUGCUAAACCUUGUCCUGGAGGAGCUUCACUUGCCUCAACACAAAGCUUGUGUCCCAAUGUUGCUACAUACUAUCCUUCCAAAAUUAUAUGUUAUAUUAUUAAUUUUCAAUACUAUUUAGGGCAGAUAGGGUGGAUAGUAUGCACAUUGGGACACAGUGGCAGUUUCAGGUAAGACCUUGAUUAGCUGCUUCAAGUGUGUUUCAUUAGGGUUGGAGCUAAACUCUGCAGGACUGAGUCUGUUUUUUUUUUUCACUGUACAUAUUACAAUUCUAUGUGGGAUUAUUUUCGCACUGAUAGUAUAGGGUUAAGUAAGCUUAUUUUUUUCACUGUAGAUGGUACAGGGUUCUGUAGGGUUAUUUUUUUCAAUCUAGACACUAUAGGUUAAGAAGAUAUUUGUAUACACUGCAGAAAGUAUAGAGUUUAAAUACAGGGUUUUCCAGCAUUCGCAGUUCUAGCUUGGCAAGACUUUCCUAAAGCUUAGAAUGGAGUCAUAGGAAGCAAGGCUGUUAAUUUCACUAGCUAGGGAUCUGUUGGGCCCAAAUUAUGUGCACUGGUUUGCCCAAGAGCUUCAAAACAAUUCUGCACCGUGUACAGAUAGACGUACAGUUAUUACUCUGUCUGAGGAGAAGCGUUAUGGCGGGAACAGAAUCUGAUGGCGAGGAAACAGCGUCAUCAAGCGGUUAAAUAUGAUAUGGUUCUUCCAGACAGAGUGACGUGCGGUUCAAGCAGGAAGUGAGCGCGUUCACGUGUGAUUGUGUUGUUCUGUUUUGCCGCCUUGACGCAAACUUACUUCACUUACAUAAGCUCUUAGUCAACUUUUAUUCGUUUCG